GCAGUGCGGGUGCUAUACAUGCAAGUCGAGCGGACAGAAGGGAGCUUGCUCCCGGAUGUUAGCGGCGGACGGGUGAGUAACACGUGGGUAACCUGCCUGUAAGACUGGGAUAACUCCGGGAAACCGGAGCUAAUACCGGAUAGUUCCUUGAACCGCAUGGUUCAAGGAUGAAAGACGGUUUCGGCUGUCACUUACAGAUGGACCCGCGGCGCAUUAGCUAGUUGGUGGGGUAAUGGCUCACCAAGGCGACGAUGCGUAGCCGACCUGAGAGGGUGAUCGGCCACACUGGGACUGAGACACGGCCCAGACUCCUACGGGAGGCAGCAGUAGGGAAUCUUCCGAAUGGGACGAAAGUCUGACGGAGCAACGCCGCGUGAGUGAUGAAGGUUUUUCGGAUCGUAAAGCUCUGUUGUUAGGGAAGAACAAGUGCGAGAGUAACUGCUCGCACCUUGACGGUACCUAACCAGAAAGCCACGGCUAACUACGUGCCAGCAGCCGCGGUAAUACGUAGGUGGCAAGCGUUGUCCGGAAUUAUUGGGCGUAAAGGGCUCGCAGGCGGUUUCUUAAGUCUGAUGUGAAAGCCCCCGGGCUCAACCGGGGAGGGUCAUUGGAAAACUGGGAAACUUGAGUGCAGAAGAGGAGAGUGGAAUUUCCACGUGUAGCGGGUGAAAUGCGUAGAGAUGUGGAGGAACACCAGUGGGGCGAAGCGACUCUCUGGUCUGUAACUGACGCUGAGAGCGAAGCGUGGGGGAGCGAACAGAUUAGAAUACCCCUGGUAGUCACGACGUAAACGAAUGAGUGGCCUACUGGUAGGGGACUUCCGCCCCUUUAUUGCUUGCAGCCUACGCAAUUAGUCAUUCCGCCUUGGGGGAGUACGGCUCGCAGGACUGGAAACUCAAUGACUUGGACGGGGACCCGCCAAAUCGAUGUGACU
RNAcentral lists this ribosomal RNA (934 nucleotides) under Bacillus sp. (in: firmicutes). Its description in RNAcentral is "bacterial SSU rRNA". It matches the Rfam family "Bacterial small subunit ribosomal RNA", at positions 39 to 939 of the family's 1533-position model. The record is from RNAcentral. Lineage: Bacteria; Bacillati; Bacillota; Bacilli; Caryophanales; Bacillaceae.